CCUACGGGAGGCAGCAGUGGGGAAUAUUGGGCAAUGGGCGAGAGCCUGAACCAGCCAAGUCGCGUGAGGGAGUACUGCCCUAUGGGUUGUAAACCUCUUUUGUCGGGGAGCAAAAGCCGGACGUGUCCGGCUGUGAGAGUACCCGAAGAAAAUGCAUCGGCUAACUCCGUGCCAGCAGCCGCGGUAAUACGGAGGAUGCGAGCGUUAUCCGGAUUUAUUGGGUUUAAAGGGUGCGCAGGCGGAUUUUUAAGUCAGCGGUAAAAUCGUGGGGCUCAACCCCAUCCAGCCGUUGAAACUGGGGAUCUAGAGUGUGCGAGAGGUAUGCGGAAUGCGUGGUGUAGCGGUGAAAUGCAUAGAUAUCACGCAGAACCCCGAUUGCGAAGGCAGCAUACCGGUGCACAACUGACGCUCAGGCACGAAAGCGUGGGUAUCGAACAGGAUUAGAUACCCGUGUAGUC
This 458-nucleotide ribosomal RNA is filed under the name uncultured bacterium. RNAcentral describes it as "partial 16S ribosomal RNA". It matches the Rfam family "Bacterial small subunit ribosomal RNA", at positions 338 to 795 of the family's 1533-position model. The record is from RNAcentral.